RNAcentral lists this ribosomal RNA (714 nucleotides) under actinobacterium GWS-AG-H192. RNAcentral describes it as "bacterial SSU rRNA". It matches the Rfam family "Bacterial small subunit ribosomal RNA", at positions 11 to 736 of the family's 1533-position model. Lineage: Bacteria; Bacillati; Actinomycetota; Actinomycetes. The record is from RNAcentral.
GUUUGAUCCUGGCUCAGGACGAACGCUGGCGGCGUGCUUAACACAUGCAAGUCGAACGGUGACGCUGGAGCUUGCUCCAGCUGAUCAGUGGCGAACGGGUGAGUAACACGUGAGCAACCUGCCCUUGACUCUGGGAUAACUCCGGGAAACCGGAGCUAAUACCGGAUACGAACCGCACAGGCAUCUGCGUGGUUGGAAAGAUUUAUCGGUCAAGGAUGGGCUCGCGGCCUAUCAGCUUGUUGGUGGGGUAACGGCCCACCAAGGCGACGACGGGUAGCCGGCCUGAGAGGGCGACCGGCCACACUGGGACUGAGACACGGCCCAGACUCCUACGGGAGGCAGCAGUGGGGAAUAUUGCACAAUGGGCGCAAGCCUGAUGCAGCGACGCCGCGUGAGGGAUGAAGGCCUUCGGGUUGUAAACCUCUUUCAGCAGGGAAGAAGCGAAAGUGACGGUACCUGCAGAAGAAGCACCGGCUAACUACGUGCCAGCAGCCGCGGUAAUACGUAGGGUGCAAGCGUUGUCCGGAAUUAUUGGGCGUAAAGAGCUCGUAGGCGGUCUGUCGCGUCUGCUGUGAAAACCUAGGGCUUAACCCUGGGCCUGCAGUGGGUACGGGCAGACUAGAGUGCGGUAGGGGAGACUGGAAUUCCUGGUGUAGCGGUGAAAUGCGCAGAUAUCAGGAGGAACACCGGUGGCGAAGGCGGGUCUCUGGGCCG